Molecule: long non-coding RNA, 518 nt
Organism: Tyto alba (common barn owl)
Lineage: Eukaryota; Metazoa; Chordata; Aves; Strigiformes; Tytonidae
Exons: 3
Source: RefSeq, a predicted model, not a curated record
CAUACUAAUAUGCCUUCUUCUUUCUUAAAUGUGCAGACUAACAGGGAAUGGGUCCACCUGCCUUGGAGAGGAACGGAGAAGCCUUGGCCUUACGCCGUGGUGGGAGGCAGCACACGGAGGAGGGGGCCAGCACAGCCACAGGGAUGUCUGCGCCCGCCACGGCCACUCCGUGUGCCUAGGAGGGAGCUAUAUUUGGAAAAAUCAUUAUCACAAGCUUCCUUGCUGGUAAAGGAGCUCAGCAGAACAGGAGGAGGACAGGGAAUCGGAGGAAACACUGCGAGGAUAUGAAAUGAAAGAGAUGGUGCAGCAAGUUAAGGAAGAUGACUCCAGUGGAAGAACAGAAGAAGCUGCUGUAUCUCUCACGAUGCUACUGAGAUGAGUCAGCUUGGGGGAGCCAAGUUAUCGGAGGUCACCCAGGCAGCCCACACGAGCCUGAGGUCACCCGUGUGGCCCUUUGAAAAGGGACAGGACCCAGCACUGCAGAUCAUGGAUGCUCUCAGCUGUGCAGGUGAUGCAAG